UCUGAACCAGCCAUGCCGCGUGCAGGAAGACGGCCCUAUGGGUUGUAAACUGCUUUUAUACGGGAAUAAACCUUUCUUCGUGAAGAGAGCUGAAUGUACUGUAAGAAUAAGGAUCGGCUAACUCCGUGCCAGCAGCCGCGGUAAU
Molecule: ribosomal RNA, 145 nt
Filed under: uncultured soil bacterium
Lineage: Bacteria
Description: partial 16S ribosomal RNA
Rfam family: Bacterial small subunit ribosomal RNA
Source: RNAcentral